This 254-nucleotide ribosomal RNA is filed under the name uncultured bacterium. Its description in RNAcentral is "partial 16S ribosomal RNA". It matches the Rfam family "Bacterial small subunit ribosomal RNA", at positions 524 to 776 of the family's 1533-position model. The record is from RNAcentral.
UACGUAGGGGGCAAGCGUUGUCCGGAUUUAUUGGGCGUAAAGAGCGUGUAGGCGGCCAAAACAGGUCCGUUGUGAAAACUGGAGGCUCAACCUCCAGACGUCGACGGAAACCGUGUGGCUAGAGUCCGGAAGAGGAGAGUGGAAUUCCUGGUGUAGCGGUGAAAUGCGCAGAUAUCAGGAAGAACACCAAUGGCGAAGGCAGCUCUCUGGGACGGUACUGACGCUGAGACGCGAAAGCGUGGGGAGCGAACAGG